RNAcentral lists this ribosomal RNA (503 nucleotides) under uncultured bacterium. Its description in RNAcentral is "partial 16S ribosomal RNA". It matches the Rfam family "Bacterial small subunit ribosomal RNA", at positions 30 to 523 of the family's 1533-position model. The record is from RNAcentral.
AUUGAACGCUGGCGGCAGGCUUAACACAUGCAAGUCGAGCGGGGUGAUGGUGCUUGCACUAUCACUUAGCGGCGGACGGGUGAGUAAUGCUUAGGAAUCUGCCUAUUAGUGGGGGACAACAUCUCGAAAGGGAUGCUAAUACCGCAUACGUCCUACGGGAGAAAGCAGGGGAUCACUUGUGACCUUGCGCUAAUAGAUGAGCCUAAGUCGGAUUAGCUAGUUGGUGGGGUAAAGGCCUACCAAGGCGACGAUCUGUAGCGGGUCUGAGAGGAUGAUCCGCCACCCUGGGACUGAGACACGGCCCAGACUCCUACGGGAGGCAGCAGUGGGGAAUAUUGGACAAUGGGGGGAACCCUGAUCCAGCCAUGCCGCGUGUGUGAAGAAGGCCUUAUGGUUGUAAAGCACUUUGAGCGAGGAGGAGGCUCUUUUGGUUAAUACCCAAGAUGAGUGGACGUUACUCGCAGAAUAAGCACCGGCUAACUCUGUGCCAGCAGCCGCCGUAA